Molecule: long non-coding RNA, 524 nt
Filed under: Solanum tuberosum (potato)
Lineage: Eukaryota; Viridiplantae; Streptophyta; Magnoliopsida; Solanales; Solanaceae
Description: long non-coding RNA (STUB_LNC003961)
Source: RNAcentral
AUUUUUGGGCUGGAACCUGAGACUAUUAUUUAGGUUUUAAGUUGAGGUCAGCCUGUUUUUUCAAGAUACGUGUGAAACCGAGGGAACAAUGAAUAUAGGAGAUUAUUUUAGGACAAAUUACUUAACUACACUCCUUUACUUACCUUAAUAUCCAUUUAUCCCUACUUAUUUCAAAAAUUUCAAAAAUCCCUUAUUUUACCUAUGUAUCCCGUGCACAACGCUAUGUAUCCCGUGCACAACGCUAUGUAUCCCGCUACGUGGGAUGUAUUAAACCUAAUGUAUCCCGUGCACAACUCUAUGUAUCCCGCAAACAUCAUUUUUAAGGGAUUUUUGGUAAAUAGAAAACUAGAAGGGAUAGGAUGUUAUUUAGUACUUAUAAUAUGUGGUUCCUAUAAUUUAUACAUUAUUUUAAGUAGUUGGCUUUUGAAAGGUCAAUAAUAAUGAAUAGGUGGUAAAAUGAAGCAUCCAUUGAAAACGAAGGUGUUGAAAAAAUAAAAAUAAAAAUUGGGGAAGGUGGACGACAA